UUAGUGGCGGACGGGUGAGUAACGCGUGGAAAACCUGCCGUAUACUGGGGGAUAACACUUAGAAAUAGGUGCUAAUACCGCAUAAGCGCACAGCUUCGCAUGAAGCGGUGUGAAAAACUCUGGUGGUAUACGAUGGUUCCGCGUCUGAUUAGCUAGUUGGUGGGGUAAUGGCCUACCAAGGCAACGAUCAGUAGCCCGCCUGAGAGGGUGAACGGCCACAUUGGGACUGAGACACGGCCCAAACUCCUACGGGAGGCAGCAG
RNAcentral lists this ribosomal RNA (262 nucleotides) under uncultured bacterium. RNAcentral's name for it is "partial 16S ribosomal RNA". It matches the Rfam family "Bacterial small subunit ribosomal RNA", at positions 92 to 354 of the family's 1533-position model. The record is from RNAcentral.